AGGGUUUGAUCAUGGCUCAGGACGAACGCUGGCGGCGUGCUUUACACAUGCAAGUCGAGCGAUGAGAUCCCUUCGGGGAAGGAUUAGCGGCGAACGGGUGAGGAACACGUGAGGAAUCUGCCUUCAACACUGGGAUAACUCCGGGAAACCGGGGCUAAUACCGGAUACGAGACCUGCAGGCAUCUGUGGGUCUGGAAAGUUUUUCGGUUGAAGAUGACCUCGCGGCCUAUCAGCUUGUUGGUGAGGUAAUGGCUCACCAAGGCGACGACGGGUAGCCGGCCUGAGAGGGCGACCGGCCACACUGGGACUGAGACACGGCCCAGACUCCUACGGGAGGCAGCAGUGGGGAAUAUUGGGCAAUGGAGGGAACUCUGACCCAGCGACGCCGCGUGCGGGAUGAAGGCCUUCGGGUUGUAAACCGCUUUCAGCAAGGAAGAAGCGAAAGUGACGGUACUUGCAGAAGAAGCACCGGCUAACUAUGUGCCAGCCGCCGCGGUAAUACA
This 503-nucleotide ribosomal RNA is filed under the name uncultured Nostocoides sp. RNAcentral's name for it is "bacterial SSU rRNA". It matches the Rfam family "Bacterial small subunit ribosomal RNA", at positions 8 to 527 of the family's 1533-position model. The record is from RNAcentral. Lineage: Bacteria; Bacillati; Actinomycetota; Actinomycetes; Micrococcales; Intrasporangiaceae.